UACGAAGGGGGCUAGCGUUGCUCGGAAUUACUGGGCGUAAAGCGCACGUAGGCGGUCUUUUAAGUCGGGGGUGAAAUCCUGGAGCUCAACUCCAGAACUGCCUUCGAUACUGGAAGACUUGAGUCCGGGAGAGGUGAGUGGAACUGCGAGUAUAGAGGUGAAAUUCGUAGAUAUUCGCAAGAACACCAGUGGCGAAGGCGGCUCACUGGCCCGGUACUGACGCUGAGGUGCGAAAGCGUGGGGAGCAAACAGG
This 253-nucleotide ribosomal RNA is filed under the name uncultured bacterium. RNAcentral describes it as "partial 16S ribosomal RNA". It matches the Rfam family "Bacterial small subunit ribosomal RNA", at positions 524 to 776 of the family's 1533-position model. The record is from RNAcentral.